Long non-coding RNA from Drosophila montana, 3129 nucleotides. RefSeq lists it as uncharacterized. The transcript is spliced from 2 exons. The record is from RefSeq and is a predicted model, not a curated record. Lineage: Eukaryota; Metazoa; Arthropoda; Insecta; Diptera; Drosophilidae.
AAGGCGAUCUCAAGAUGACAUCUAGAACACCCAAAAAUUUUUGUGAUGGUAUUCAGUGCUUUAAGAAAUCCGUUAAUUUCUUGAAACUGCUUUGUGCUCCAAUAGCUGUAAAUAUAAACAAUUUAUGUUUGUUAUUAUAACACUAAGAUCUAGCCUUGUCAAGCAAUUGAAGAACAAACAUAUGUAUAAACAUUGAAAUGCUCAAUACCUUAACAAUUCACUCAUUUCAUGAAAAUAUAUAUAUCUAAUGUUUAUUUCAUAUGUUUAUUGAUAGAUAGAUUCGAUCACCAAUGAGCUUGCUUUAAAUCUAACUAUUUUAUAUCCCGAACCCAUUGAAAAUUGUUCAUAAGGAUAUAGUGGUUUUGUGGAAAUGUAUGUAAAAGGCAGAAGGACGCGUCUCCCGUCCUAUAAUAUCAGGACAACGUGCUAAGUCGACCUAUCUGUUUCCGUCUGUGUGAAUACGAAGAUCUAGGAAACGACCUUAGUGAAAUUAAAAAUACAUAUUGGCGUAUACCAAAUAGCUGUAUACACCAAACUUGGAAUGCAGGUUCUUGUAUAGUAUACGCACAUUCAAAAUAUUUCUCGUUUUUUGAUAGCUCCCUCAUAUUUAUACCUUAAAGUAUUUACAAAAAUCGGACUAUAAACACCAAUAAUAUUCCAGAAUAUAUUUCCAUAGUGUGGAGCAAUGUGAACAAUAACAGCCGCAGAGUAGACUGCGUGCUUGUGUUUGUUUGUAUUGUGUAAACAGGUACAUAUCUAUGAAAAGGUAUCUAGCGUUGGAUUUAGGGAAUCUUUUAGUUGGGCAGUUCCGAAAGGAGUGCUGCUGACUAUUUUCAAAUAAAUGUUAUUUGCAAGUAAUAUAAAUCUCUAGAUUUUAUAGUAUCUUAGAUAGACAGCUGUUAAGGAAAAAAGGAAUAUGGCAAUAUAAGAAUGUACACUUGUUGGAUUCGGAGAAGCACCCAUCUGCCUAUUACCAAAGACAAUACAAACACUAAGAUGAGUAACGCCAUACAACAAAAUGCUACUACGCAGCUUGAUUUUUUGAAAAUUAAGAACGAAAACGCUAUCAGUAUCAUUGCGCUCUCACAGCCGAAAGAGCGGAAAGUCUAAAAAUAGAAUGUACUCUCAGCUUCGGCUCUAUGAGGGCCGUGCAAACAAUUAUGUUUUUAUGUGUGUGAAUAUACAUACACAACAACAUAUUUGAAUGUAUUGGUUUUUACUGCUCUGGCUUUCGCUGGUAAAGAAAUAAAUGUUGUUAGUGUUCUACCGCUGAUCAUGACCUAUCCCAAAUUUGCAUUCACAUAUGAAUGCAUGUUGUGUACUGAGGUUGGCUCCGUAGAAAAGCUAUAUUUUUAAGUCGAUGCAAAUAUUUAUAUAAUUUCUUUAAAUUAAAUUAUUUAUUAAAUUAUUUUAAUUUUUAAGUAAUAAAAAAUAAUAAAUCAUAAUUCAUAUUUAUUUAUACAAAAAUUUAUUUGAUAUAGUCUAUUUUUUAUUUUUUUGGACUCUUUUAUUUCUUCAUUGGGGAAUAAAAAUAAUAAUAAAUAAUUAAUAGUUUAAUUUCAAGAAAUUAUUUAAAUAUUAGCAUCGACUUAAAAAUACAGAUUUUCUACCGAGCAUACCUCAGUACACAAUAUGCAUUCAUAUGUGAAUGCAAAUUUGGGAUAGGUCAUGAUCAGCGCUAGAAAACUAACAAAAUUAAUUUCUUGCCAGCAAAAGACAGAGCAGUGAAUAACAACACAUACAUAUAUAAAUAUUUUGAUGUGUGUACUUAUGAAUGCAUAAUUCACGCAUACAAACAUAUGUAUGUAGGUGCCAAAAACAAAAGUAAAAUCAAUCUAUGUGUGCUAUUUUGUGAACAUAGUUAUCGCACAAGAUGCGCUUUGUGAAAAAAUUAUUUUAUUCCUAAAUUUUCCUGUAAAAUUUAUCGUUAGUAUCUAGCGUAAUGUAUCAUUUAAAUAAAGCAUGCACUUCACGGAUAUGCGUCGAUCGUAGGAAGCCGCGCCUUCGGUAUUCAUUCGUCUAGCUUUUGGAGAGCGAACAGCCUACGGCUAGCAUGAAAGACCAGAUGAGAAGCCAGACUAGAAAUUUUACGUCGCAUUCAGAUGUAUGGGCGUUAAUCAUCUUAGUGUUUAUAUUGUCUCUGAUAUUACUUAUAUUUAUGUAACUUCAUUGUGUGUGUACAUUUUUUACUAAUUAAAGAACGUUAUAUUAUUUUUUUUCGAUCGAUUUAAUUGAUGUAAUAUCAUCAGACAAUAUACUUAAAUAUCUGACUGCGGAUUCUUGAAUUAAAUAUAUUUAGGUUGUAUUAAAAUUUAUUUUAAUUAAUUUUAGUUUUGAAUGCACAUUAAUUCACUCAAUUAUUUUGAAACUGUCGCCAAUUUUCAUUUAUUUUAUUUUGUUAUGUUACUAUGUAGAGGUUAUAAAUAAUUGUCAAUUGUUUGCAAUUAAUUAAACAUAAUAGGCCUGUAGUUAUAUUUAUUGAUUAAUAUUGUGUAAGCCAAAUACUACAAAUUUAAACGAAUGUAUAUUAAAAAUGUAACACAUAUUGGUGUUCACUUAUCAUCGCAGCGUUGCAUAUUUGGAAGUCUGCAAUACCCCGCGACAGCACCUUCACUGAAAAAUUUUUUGGACCUAGACUAUAAUAUUUGUUGUUGUUAUAAAUGUUUAUUGUAUUAAAUCAAAAUUAGCAUACAUUUUUGUUACAACACAGUUGGCUUAGGUGAUAUUUCGCCAAGCCUGGUUGUUAAACUGGUCAUAAACUAUAAAUAUCAUGGCAAAGCUGCAACACUAGAGAUGCAAAACACAGGAAAAAUCCUAUUACCUCAAUUGAUAUUUGAUAAAUUAAGGUAUGUUUUAGUGCUAAAAUUGAGGAAACACCUGCUGUAUCUGUGCGAAAUUAAUCUACAGAUGCCAAAAACAUGAAAAUAUGCAAGUAAAUAACAUGACGGGCUUUACACACCUUUAACAAGUUUAAUUUGAAGAAUAGGUCUGAUUUCUGUCACUCCCGUAAUGUAAUUCUCAAAUCAGCAAUUUAAACUGACAUUCAAUAUACAAUCAGAAUUUUUCACAAAAAAAAAACAAUUUAUUUGCUGUUCACUUUGAAGGUAUUGCAGCCUUAAAAAGCUUCAA